Molecule: RNA transcript, 2360 nt
Organism: Oryza brachyantha (malo sina)
Lineage: Eukaryota; Viridiplantae; Streptophyta; Magnoliopsida; Poales; Poaceae
Gene name: beta-1,2-xylosyltransferase XYXT1-like
Exons: 7
Source: RefSeq, a predicted model, not a curated record
AGAAUAAUUCCAUUCCAUACGACAACAGCUGACGAACAAUCAUUCAACUAGGUAAUUGUUUGAACGACAACGCUACCAACUACCAAGUCCCAAUUCGAUGCUUAUGUUGAAGCGCGGCCAAACCGCAACACCGGAUCAUUUUUUUUCUUCUACCGGAAGCUCCCGAGAUGAGGCGAGGAGAAGCGAAGGGUUCAAGGGGCGCAAAUCGAUCGUCGUUGUGGUCAUGGAAGAGCAGCUAUAUUGGAUAUGGCUUAGUUGUUGGCUUCGUGUUGAUGCUGCUGUAUUUGAUGGUCUCCGCGCAGUUCAGCAGCAGCCCAAACGCUUAUUUAGGCGGCCCAGCAAAAAUCAGUCAAACCGAAUCGAUUUCUUCUGCAAGGCAUCAAGAGAAUCAUGCAGGACAAGAAGAUGGAAACAGAGAAAACGAGGAACCCUACAACGAGGAGGUAGCUAGAACACACACGGAACCAUCAACAGGUCAGUGUCAAGGCAACGAAAGGAACUCUGAUAUCACGGAGGAAAGACACCAAUCCAAGAGAAAGGACAAUCUCGGAGGAGGAACGGGCGAUUUCCACAAUGUCGCCAACACCAAACCGAUCUGCGACACGUCGUUCGGCAAGUACGACAUUUGCGUGCUCGACGGCGACGCACGGGCACAGGGGGGCACUGCAGCCACGGUCACGCUCGUCUCACCGCACGCUGCGCCGCAAGAGUGGAAGAUAAAGCCCUACUCCCGGAAGUACCUCGACGGCCUCAAGGCGGUCACGGUGAAGUCCGUCACCAACCCCGAGGACGCCCCACAGUGCACGACACGACUCAACGUCCCGGCAAUCGUCAUCGAGCUUGGCGGGCUGACCGGCAACUACUGGCAUGACUUCACCGACGUGCUUAUCCCCCUCUUCAUCGGCGCGUCUCGCUUCAGCGGGGAGGUCCAGCUCGUCGUCGUCAACCUGCUGCCUUUCUGGGUCGACAAGUACAGGAAAAUAUUCAGCCAGAUCUCACGCUACGAGAUCAUCGACCUAGACAAGGACCACGGCGUCGUGCGGUGUUACCCGCAUGUGGUUGUCGGCUACGGCAGCCGCAAGGAGUUCACUAUUGAUCCAUCCCUGGAUGACACCGGCGGCGGCUACACCAUGCUAAACUUCACUGAAUUCCUGAGGCACUCCUACUCGCUUCCGCGCGACCGUCCGAUCAAGCUCAAUGCAAUUGGCCCCCCUGGGCUGGCACGGCCGCGGCCACGGAUGAUGAUCCUGGAGCGGACCAACAGCCGCAAGUUCAUGAACCUCCCGGAGGUCGUCGCGGCUGCCGAGGCCGUGGGGUUCGAAGUGACCGUCGCCGGCCGUCCAAUGGCUAGUUUUGAUGAGUUCGCCCGGGAGGUGAAUUCCUUCGACGUGAUGCUGGGCGUGCACGGGGCCGGGCUGACAAACUGCCUGUUCCUCCCCACGGGGGCCGUGCUCGUGCAGAUCGUGCCGUACGGGCGACUGGAGAACAUUGCUCAGACCGAUUUUGGCGACCCUGCACAAGACAUGGGACUCCGGUACAUCCAGUACAGCAUUGCGGCCGACGAGAGUUCUCUGAUGGACGUGUUCGGCAAGGACCACCCAAUGAUCAAGGACCCUAUCGCCGUGCACAUGAGCGGGUGGGGCAACGUUGCCGAGUGGUACCUUGGGAAGCAGGACGUGCGGGUCAACAUAGACCGAUUCAGGCCUGCCGUCACCCAGGCGUUGGAGUACCUGCAGUAGUGAUCGAUUCUGAAUAAACAGGCUAAUAAUCGCCCAGUCCAGGGUUGGGCACCUAUGUCCUUGGUAACUUGUGAUGAGGACAUUACUACUUUGGAUAUACACAAUACUCCUCAAGUUAUUAUACAAGGUCCCAAUCACUAGAGCUUGCGUCCGCCAAUUAAAUUUACAGGAACAUUGGAGAGGAUCCCAAAGUACUUGGAGAGAUAUCUGGAGUUAUAGAUGACCCUCAUUAGGUUGGGCCCUAGUCAGGGGCUAGAUCCCAGCUUUGGAGCGCUAGGUCCUUGAAUCUUCAUCGAUUGAUCCCAUAGGAUCAAUGUUUCUUCAUACCUUGCAAAUUAAUUGAAGCAUACUCAAGAUGACAACAAAACCUUUGUUGGAAACACUCAAAUAGGUUUGGAGUCAAAGUUACUUAAAUGUUUUGUUUUUUGAAGUUGAACUAUUUCCUCACCCACUAGAGUGGUGGAGGGAUUGGAGACCUAAGUCGGUUGCGGACACCCGGGUCCUCCAGUGAAUCGGUUGCCUUGAGCUCAGCAUCUGGGUUGAAUGAUCCCUCCUUGGCAACUGACUCAUCUGCCGAUGGGAACGUUGGCCUCUUCUUUCUCUUAGGUAAUACUCAUCCGG